UACGAAGGGGGCUAGCGUUGCUCGGAAUCACUGGGCGUAAAGCGCACGUAGGCGGAUUGUUAAGUCAGGGGUGAAAUCCUGGAGCUCAACUCCAGAACUGCCUUUGAUACUGGCGAUCUUGAGUCCGGGAGAGGUGAGUGGAACUGCGAGUGUAGAGGUGAAAUUCGUAGAUAUUCGCAAGAACACCAGUGGCGAAGGCGGCUCACUGGCCCGGUACUGACGCUCAUGCACGAAAGCGUGGGGAGCAAACAGG
RNAcentral lists this ribosomal RNA (253 nucleotides) under uncultured bacterium. RNAcentral describes it as "partial 16S ribosomal RNA". It matches the Rfam family "Bacterial small subunit ribosomal RNA", at positions 524 to 776 of the family's 1533-position model. The record is from RNAcentral.